GCAUCCCUAGUCUAAUGGAUAAAACGUUCGGCUCCGGACCGGGAGAUGGGGGUUCAAUUCCCCCGGGGUGCA
This 72-nucleotide transfer RNA is filed under the name Clostridia bacterium. RNAcentral describes it as "tRNA-Arg". It matches the Rfam family "tRNA". From Rfam's summary of the family: Transfer RNA (tRNA) molecules are approximately 80 nucleotides in length. Their secondary structure includes four short double-helical elements and three loops (D, anti-codon, and T loops). The record is from RNAcentral. Lineage: Bacteria; Bacillati; Bacillota; Clostridia.